RNAcentral lists this ribosomal RNA (519 nucleotides) under uncultured bacterium. RNAcentral describes it as "bacterial SSU rRNA". It matches the Rfam family "Bacterial small subunit ribosomal RNA", at positions 9 to 526 of the family's 1533-position model. The record is from RNAcentral.
GAGUUUGAUCCUGGCUCAGGAUGAACGCUGGCGGCGUGCUUAACACAUGCAAGUCGAACGAAGCACCUUGAUCCGAUUCUUCGGAUGAAGAUCUUGGUGACUGAGUGGCGGACGGGUGAGUAACGCGUGGGUAACCUGCCUCAUACAGGGGGAUAACAGUUAGAAACGACUGCUAAUACCGCAUAAGCCCACGACCCGGCAUCGGGUUGAGGGAAAAGGAGCAAUCCGCUUUGAGAUGGCCUCGCGUCCGAUUAGCUAGUUGGUGAGGUAAUGGCCCACCAAGGCAACGAUCGGUAGCCGGACUGAGAGGUUGAACGGCCACAUUGGAACUGAGACACGGUCCAAACUCCUACGGGAGGCAGCAGUGGGGAAUAUUGCACAAUGGGGGAAACCCUGAUGCAGCGACGCCGCGUGAAGGAAGAAGUAUCUCGGUAUGUAAACUUCUAUCAGCAGGGAAGAUAGUGACGGUACCUGACUAAGAAGCCCCGGCUAACUACGUGCCAGCCGCCGCGGUAAUUC